GACGAAGGAUGCAAGCGUUAUCCGGAUUCAUUGGGUUUAAAGGGAGCGUAGGUGGUCUUCUAAGUCAGUGGUGAAAUCUCUCGGCUUAACUGAGAAAUUGCCAUUGAUACUGGGGGACUUGAGUGUAGUUGCCGUUGGCGGAAUAUGACAUGUAGUGGUGAAAUACAUAGAGAUGUCAUAGAACACCGAUUGCGAAGGCAGCUAACGAAACUAUAACUGACACUGAGGCUCGAAAGUGCGGGGAUCAAACAGG
Molecule: ribosomal RNA, 253 nt
Filed under: uncultured bacterium
Lineage: Bacteria
Description: partial 16S ribosomal RNA
Rfam family: Bacterial small subunit ribosomal RNA
Source: RNAcentral